RNAcentral lists this ribosomal RNA (255 nucleotides) under uncultured bacterium. Its description in RNAcentral is "partial 16S ribosomal RNA". It matches the Rfam family "Bacterial small subunit ribosomal RNA", at positions 524 to 777 of the family's 1533-position model. The record is from RNAcentral.
UACGUAGGGGGCGAGCGUUGUCCGGAUUUAUUGGGCGUAAAGAGCGUGUAGGCGGCCAGGUAGGUCCGUUGUGAAAACUCGAGGCUCAACCUCGAGACGUCGAUGGAAACCAUCUGGCUAGAGUCCGGAAGAGGAGAGUGGAAUUCCUAGUGUAGAGGUGAAAUUCGUAGAUAUUAGGAAGAACACCAGUGGCGAAGGCGGCUCACUGGUCCGGUACUGACGCUGAGGUGCGAAAAGCGUGGGGAGCAAACAGGG